UUCCUCAGUAGCUCAGUGGUAGAGCGAUUGGCUGUUAACCGAUGGGUCGUAGGUUCAAAUCCUUCCUGAGGAGA
RNAcentral lists this transfer RNA (74 nucleotides) under Bostrychia simpliciuscula. RNAcentral's name for it is "tRNA-Asn". It matches the Rfam family "tRNA". Rfam says of the family: Transfer RNA (tRNA) molecules are approximately 80 nucleotides in length. Their secondary structure includes four short double-helical elements and three loops (D, anti-codon, and T loops). Further hydrogen bonds mediate the characteristic L-shaped molecular structure. tRNAs have two regions of fundamental functional importance: the anti-codon, which is responsible for specific mRNA codon recognition, and the 3' end, to which the tRNAs corresponding amino acid is attached (by aminoacyl-tRNA synthetases). tRNAs cope with the degeneracy of the genetic code in two manners: having more than one tRNA (with a specific anti-codon) for a particular amino acid; and 'wobble' base-pairing, i.e. permitting non-standard base-pairing at the 3rd anti-codon position. Lineage: Eukaryota; Rhodophyta; Florideophyceae; Ceramiales; Rhodomelaceae. The record is from RNAcentral.